UCCACCAGAUUCAGAGUAGAUCUCCUCAUGCCCUCUGAAGUCAACGUCGGCCUGCUUACAGUUUGUAGCUUCUUCAAAGAGAGUGACUUCUUCACCUCAUCAACCCUUUCUUCAACUUCCUUCCGGUGCUUCCUGUCCGAUUCACUCAUUGUAUCUGCCCAUUUGAUUUUCUCUUGAAUUGACACAAGAAGAUUGUCUGAAGUAGUCAACCAGUCAGUUAAUGUCUGUAGCAUAUUCCCCAAUUGACCGGGUCUGAGAUCUCUCCCUGCAGCAAAUUGUACCUCAAAGCAUCUUUUCAACUGAUCCAGCUUUCCUCUAACUAUGCCCACAUACAUGCACUCAUUUAUGAGAAAAUCUUCAAGUUCACGCACAUUUGUGACAUCCAACUCCUGCAUAAGUUGAUCAUAUGGAAGCUCCUUGCUUGUAUCAGCUAGUGUAAGCACAGUAAGUUGCUUCAACUUGAGAGCUUGGGCAGACGCCAACUGAGGAAGACAGCCAGCAAUACUUUUGUAGUCACUCCAUGUUCCAUGAGCAAACAAACGAAGCAAAUCAAGGUAUACUGAAUUCUCAGUUCCUCCAAGCUCGAGAACACUGGGAACAGAAAGAAUCUCUGAAAAAGCAAAGAGUGAUGGAUGCGAAGUGGCUUCAACAAUAACAGUGGUAAGGGCAGAACCCUUGAGUGCUGAUGCUUGUUUCACAAAGAAGUCGAUGUGCUCCGCUUGCUUUUGUUCGAUAUCCAUCUCUCUAUGAAUAAUUAAUAAUCACAAGUAAUCAGGGGUUCAAUAACAUUUAUAGACAAAAGCAAAGAAAAUUAUUAGGGUUUCUGAUUUCCGAUUCAAAGAUUUAUCACAAAAACAAAUAGAGAAGAGGGCUUUUUUAACUGUAAAAUUUUGGAGUCCCACGGAGAAGAAGGGCG
This 916-nucleotide unclassified non-coding RNA is filed under the name Hevea brasiliensis (rubber tree). Lineage: Eukaryota; Viridiplantae; Streptophyta; Magnoliopsida; Malpighiales; Euphorbiaceae. The record is from RNAcentral.